UUAGAUCCUUGUCACUGAUUGAAUUGGC
RNAcentral lists this small RNA (28 nucleotides) under Bombyx mori (domestic silkworm). Its description in RNAcentral is "ovarian small RNA-9405". The record is from RNAcentral. Lineage: Eukaryota; Metazoa; Arthropoda; Insecta; Lepidoptera; Bombycidae.